RNAcentral lists this ribosomal RNA (506 nucleotides) under Klebsiella oxytoca. Its description in RNAcentral is "bacterial SSU rRNA". It matches the Rfam family "Bacterial small subunit ribosomal RNA", at positions 1 to 505 of the family's 1533-position model. Lineage: Bacteria; Pseudomonadati; Pseudomonadota; Gammaproteobacteria; Enterobacterales; Enterobacteriaceae. The record is from RNAcentral.
UUGAGUUUGAUCCUGGCUCAGAUUGAACGCUGGCGGCAGGCCUAACACAUGCAAGUCGAACGGUAGCACAGAGAGCUUGCUCUCGGGUGACGAGUGGCGGACGGGUGAGUAAUGUCUGGGAAACUGCCUGAUGGAGGGGGAUAACUACUGGAAACGGUAGCUAAUACCGCAUAACGUCGCAAGACCAAAGAGGGGGACCUUCGGGCCUCUUGCCAUCAGAUGUGCCCAGAUGGGAUUAGCUAGUAGGUGGGGUAACGGCUCACCUAGGCGACGAUCCCUAGCUGGUCUGAGAGGAUGACCAGCCACACUGGAACUGAGACACGGUCCAGACUCCUACGGGAGGCAGCAGUGGGGAAUAUUGCACAAUGGGCGCAAGCCUGAUGCAGCCAUGCCGCGUGUAUGAAGAAGGCCUUCGGGUUGUAAAGUACUUUCAGCGGGGAGGAAGGAGUAAGGUUAAUAACCUUGUUCAUUGACGUUACCCGCAGAAGAAGCACCGGCUAAGCCGU